Molecule: ribosomal RNA, 679 nt
Filed under: Salmonella enterica subsp. enterica serovar Typhi
Lineage: Bacteria; Pseudomonadati; Pseudomonadota; Gammaproteobacteria; Enterobacterales; Enterobacteriaceae
Also listed under: 1 other name
Description: partial 23S ribosomal RNA
Rfam family: Bacterial large subunit ribosomal RNA
Source: RNAcentral
GGUAGUUUGACUGGGGCGGUCUCCUCCUAAAGAGUAACGGAGGAGCACGAAGGUUGGCUAAUCCUGGUCGGACAUCAGGAGGUUAGUGCAAUGGCAUAAGCCAGCUUGACUGCGAGCGUGACGGCGCGAGCAGGUGCGAAAGCAGGUCAUAGUGAUCCGGUGGUUCUGAAUGGAAGGGCCAUCGCUCAACGGAUAAAAGGUACUCCGGGGAUAACAGGCUGAUACCGCCCAAGAGUUCAUAUCGACGGCGGUGUUUGGCACCUCGAUGUCGGCUCAUCACAUCCUGGGGCUGAAGUAGGUCCCAAGGGUAUGGCUGUUCGCCAUUUAAAGUGGUACGCGAGCUGGGUUUAGAACGUCGUGAGACAGUUCGGUCCCUAUCUGCCGUGGGCGCUGGAGAACUGAGGGGGGCUGCUCCUAGUACGAGAGGACCGGAGUGGACGCAUCACUGGUGUUCGGGUUGUCAUGCCAAUGGCACUGCCCGGUAGCUAAAUGCGGAAGAGAUAAGUGCUGAAAGCAUCUAAGCACGAAACUUGCCCCGAGAUGAGUUCUCCCUGAGACUUUAGGUCUCCUGAAGGAACGUUGAAGACGACGACGUUGAUAGGCCGGGUGUGUAAGCGCAGCGAUGCGUUGAGCUAACCGGUACUAAUGAACCGUGAGGCUUAACCUUACAACGCCGAAG